AACAGUCUUAAGUCGAUUUUGAAUUAACAUAAAAGUAUAUGAAUUUAUCCAUCAAAUCCUAGACCAUUACUCUCAUCCUCGUACCUUCUCUCCUCCAUGUAAUGCCGAUGCAAAGACACCAUCCCCCAACCGUGUUUCCGUCGUCCGCUGUCGGCCAGAAAUCGCCGCCGCCGCCGCCGACGCUCCUUUCCUAUCCAUAAAUACACCCUAGAAUACUCUUUCUCUCCUCUUUCCAACCCUCAAAAUAAUUUCCCUCAAUUCAUUGCUAAUUUUCUCGAAUAUUAAAUCUAAAAUCCGGCCAAAACCUCAACUUGUCCAAUAACGCCAAAACUUACACCAUACAAUCUCCUAACCCUCCAUCUCUAAUCCCAAACCAAAUCCUUUCAAAUCUCAACAUAACUUCUCUAAUUUUAGAUCAAAGGUUUCGAACGUGGACUAUUUGAAUUUUCAACAAUUCAAAGGAUUUUUAUUUAAUUUUAUAUGUUUUAUAAACAUUCAACAUAAUUAAAAAAUCAACUUCGAUAAUCAGUCAAAAGAAGAAAAAAACUGUGAAUUCCGUUAUAUUUUAAUUUUCUAUUGUUCUAGUUCUCUUUUUUUCUUCUUGUUGAUUUUUGUCUUGUUUGAUUUUUAUUCUGAUUUCCUGCUUGCUCUUAUCUAUUUCAUGCUUCAUACAUAUGUGAUUCAUAUUCCCUCCAGAAUUUUAGCCAUGAUUUUAUUCGUUUUUUGUUAUUUUUGUUCUCUCUUUGUCUCUUUUUUUCUUAUCGAUCAACUAUUCUAGGUUAGUUCGUUAAUUAUUUAGUGUAAGAGUUUGAUUGUAAAUUUUGAUUAAUGAUUGGUAAUGUUCGAAUUAGGUUAACUAGCAGUCUCCAUUAGUUCAAUAUUAUAGUAUUGAAUCUGGACGGAUAUAGCUGAAUCACUUAGUUCAACUAAUCAUAGUUAAAUGCAACUAAGGUAAGAGGGGCUUGGGGGGGGGGGGGNNNNNNNNNNNNNNNNNNNNNNNNNNNNNNNNNNNNNNNNNNNNNNNNNNNNNNNNNNNNNNNNNNNNNNNNNNNNNNNNNNNNNNNNNNNNNNNNNNNNNNNNNNNNNNNNNNNNNNNNNNNNNNGGGGCUGGGGGGGGGGGGUUAAGUUCAUACUAAGGUUAGUAAUUCUAUGGGCAAUCAAGGGUAGUUUAGGCAUCUAAAAGGGGCUAGUUUGUUAAUACUUGGUAAUUGGAGAACCAAAAUAAGUGUAGUAUAGGUAUUUCAUAGAUAAAAAACAAGGCUAGAACACCAUAGAGCCUUCUAGAAGGGGGCAUUAGUGUAAAUUUCUGUAUUUUUAAUGCAGUAACUUGGGCAACAAGCCACAAAAUUGUGGAUUAAAGUACAAUUUCUUAAAAUAAAAAGGGGGAAGAUGAGUAAAACCCUUCUAGAACCUUCUGCCCCAUUUAUUGCCUAUAAAAGGUAGCCCCAAUGCUUUUAUUUACAAGUUUAGACACCUCUGAAAAUUUUCAAAGUUUUAGCCAUCAAAAGUUCCCCCUAAAAGCUCUCUCUCUAAUAUUCAGAUCUGAACUUCAUUCAAAUAUUCAAAAAUCGAAAAAUAAUAGAAAACAGAAAAAAAAAUCAAAAAAUAAUUUACUUUUUUGUUACCUAUUUCGAUCAUUUUCAAAUUUCUCUUUGCUUUUCUUCAUUUCUGCUCUAAGCUUGAGUUCUAAUGGCAUUUGGAGUUGUUUAGUGACUUGUUCAAGUGAAUUUGGGACUACUUAGUUUGGAUUUUGGUUGAGUUUUUCUCCAGUGAAGUUUUAGGAGCAUUUUAAGUUCAAUCUCGAGUUAAUUUGGGGUGCAUUUGGGUGAUUUGUGAUUGAUAUCUCCUUUUCGUCUGGCUUCAAACUUUUUUUAGGGUUGUGAUUCUAUUUUCUAGGCGGUGUAUUUGUUGCUGUGUUUGAGUUUGCUGCUGACCUCCUGAUUUUCUGAUUUGUUAUUCGAAUUUCAGGUACACCAAUUGCAUCCUUGACUGAUUGUGAGCUGAAAAAUGUGUAGAAAGAAAGUAAUAUGAAGAAUGGAAGCAAAAGUUGGAUUUAGUUCAUGUAUAUUUUCUGUUUAUGAUUAUAUUGAUUGGAAUGUGUUGAAUUCGUAUGUUCUGAUCUUAUUAAUUCUGGAUUGUUCUUUAGAGUCAUGAAUUCCUUGGGCAAAUGAUAUUAGGUUGAAUCAGAAUAGAAUAAUCGUUUGUUUGAGUUUGAGUUAUCAUCUUGCUCGACGUAGUGUUUUAAUGAAAUCACCAGUAGAAUAGUGCAUAAUAUAGUUCAGGCAUAGAAUUAGAAAUCAAAUAAUUAGUGUCCUGUUAAUUCGAGUUCAGACAUAUAGAGGAUUGGAUAACUGAACCACUCAUUUAGAUCUCCAAAUUUUGAAUUCAUUUGCAUGUGUAGAAUCAAGUGUUAAGUCGUGUGAGUUUGUCAGAUUUGAUAAUUUAAAUUAAAUGAAAUAAGGAAUCAAAAAUAAAAUUAGCCGUAAGUGUAAAAGGAGAUUUAUGUAAUUUUGAGGAAAAGCCAGAGCAAAGUGCACCGUAUUACUUAGUUUGCUUUGGGGAUGAACUGGGCUGUUUAAUAUUGCGUUCCCCGGUACCUCUUCCUCUCGGUGCAGGACUGAACCUUUCGGCGCAUGAUUGCAAGGCCGCAAUUGUGCCCGAAAAAUGGCUCGCCGCCGGAGGAAUGUGGCUGUUACUACUGCUCAGAUUGUUACCCCAGCUCAUGGUGUUACAAAGGAGUUAGAACCGCUGACAUUUGGUAAUUUCCUCCCCCAAAAGUUCCAAUCG
This 2787-nucleotide long non-coding RNA is filed under the name Nicotiana benthamiana. RNAcentral describes it as "long non-coding RNA (NBEN_LNC019846)". Lineage: Eukaryota; Viridiplantae; Streptophyta; Magnoliopsida; Solanales; Solanaceae. The record is from RNAcentral.